UUCCAGACUCCUACGGGAGGCAGCAGUGGGGAAUAUUGCACAAUGGGGGGAACCCUGAUGCAGCGACGCCGCGUGAGUGAAGAAGUAUUUCGGUAUGUAAAGCUCUAUCAGCAGGGAAGAAAAUGACGGUACCUGACUAAGAAGCCCCGGCUAACUACGUGCCAGCAGCCGCGGUAAUACGUAGGGGGCAAGCGUUAUCCGGAUUUACUGGGUGUAAAGGGAGCGUAGACGGUUAUGCAAGUCUGGAGUGAAAGGCGGGGGCUCAACCCCCGGACUGCUCUGGAAACUGUAGAACUAGAGUGCAGGAGGGGUAAGUGGAAUUCCUAGUGUAGCGGUGAAAUGCGUAGAUAUUAGGAGGAACACCAGUGGCGAAGGCGGCUUACUGGACUGUAACUGACGUUGAGGCUCGAAAGCGUGGGGAGCGAAAGGGAUUAGAUACCCUAGUAC
This 447-nucleotide ribosomal RNA is filed under the name uncultured bacterium. Its description in RNAcentral is "bacterial SSU rRNA". It matches the Rfam family "Bacterial small subunit ribosomal RNA", at positions 329 to 793 of the family's 1533-position model. The record is from RNAcentral.